GCAGUAGCCGCGGUAAUACGUAGGGUGCGAGCGUUAAUCGGAAUUACUGGGCGUAAAGCGUGCGCAGGCGGUUCGUUAAGUCUGUUGUGAAAGCCCCGGGCUCAACCUGGGAAUGGCAAUGGAUACUGGCGAGCUAGAGUGUGUCAGAGGAUGGUGGAAUUCCCGGUGUAGCGGUGAAAUGCGUAGAGAUCGGGAGGAACAUCAGUGGCGAAGGCGGCCAUCUGGGACAACACUGACGCUGAGGCACGAAAGCGUGGGGAGCAAACAGGAUUAGAGACCCCCGUAGUCCCUGUCUCUUAUAC
RNAcentral lists this ribosomal RNA (302 nucleotides) under uncultured bacterium. RNAcentral describes it as "partial 16S ribosomal RNA". It matches the Rfam family "Bacterial small subunit ribosomal RNA", at positions 508 to 807 of the family's 1533-position model. The record is from RNAcentral.